GACGAACGCUGGCGGCGUGCUUAACACAUGCAAGUCGAGCGGUAAGGCCCUUUCGGGGGUACACGAGCGGCGAACGGGUGAGUAACACGUGGGUGACCUGCCCUUAGCUCUGGGAUAAGCCUGGGAAACUGGGUCUAAUACCGGAUAUGACUCCAUGACGCAUGUUGUGGGGUGGAAAGCCUUGUGCGGCUAGGGAUGGGCCCGCGGCCUAUCAGCUUGUUGGUGGGGGUGAUGGCCUACCAAGGCGACGACGGGUAGCCGGCCUGAGAGGGCGACCGGCCACACUGGGACUGAGACACGGCCCAGACUCCUACGGGAGGCAGCAGUGGGGAAUCUUGCGCAAUGGGCGAAAGCCUGACGCAGCGACGCCGCGUGAGGGAUGACGGCCU
This 389-nucleotide ribosomal RNA is filed under the name uncultured bacterium. RNAcentral describes it as "bacterial SSU rRNA". It matches the Rfam family "Bacterial small subunit ribosomal RNA", at positions 28 to 417 of the family's 1533-position model. The record is from RNAcentral.